This 318-nucleotide long non-coding RNA is filed under the name Elaeis guineensis (African oil palm). Its description in RNAcentral is "long non-coding RNA (EGUI_LNC062088)". The record is from RNAcentral. Lineage: Eukaryota; Viridiplantae; Streptophyta; Magnoliopsida; Arecales; Arecaceae.
UCUCCACGACAGGCUCCACGUGGCAGGCCACAAUGAUGGCCACGAUUCCGCUCCAUUACCCUUCGUAGCAGACCCCUCCUGGCUCCGAACGGCCCACUGACAGACGGUUACAAAACAUCGCCAUCAAUCUGUUGCACCCUCCGUCUAUAAAAAGGGGACCCCGAUACGUUAUUCUCUAAGUUCUAAUUCUUAUCCCAAAACUCUACUAAAAUUUUCGUUCGAGCACUCCAUUCUUGUUGAGGCAGAGAACUGACUUGAACGUCGGAGGAUCUUGCCGGAGCAACCCCAACUCCGGUUUAGACUUCUUUUGCAGGUCUC